GACGUAGGGCGCGAGCGUUGUCCGGAUUUAUUGGGCGUAAAGAGCUCGUAGGCGGCUUGUCGCGUCGUCCGUGAAAACCUGCAGCUCAACUGCAGGCUUGCGGUCGAUACGGGCAGGCUGGAGUUCGGUAGGGGAGACUGGAAUUCCUGGUGUAGCGGUGAAAUGCGCAGAUAUCAGGAGGAACACCGGUGGCGAAGGCGGCGACCUGGGUAGAUACUGACGCUGAGGUGCGAAAGCGUGGGGAGCAAACAGG
RNAcentral lists this ribosomal RNA (253 nucleotides) under uncultured bacterium. RNAcentral describes it as "partial 16S ribosomal RNA". It matches the Rfam family "Bacterial small subunit ribosomal RNA", at positions 524 to 776 of the family's 1533-position model. The record is from RNAcentral.